RNAcentral lists this long non-coding RNA (724 nucleotides) under Rhinopithecus bieti (black snub-nosed monkey). RNAcentral's name for it is "lncRNA (ENSRBIG00000045704.1)". Lineage: Eukaryota; Metazoa; Chordata; Mammalia; Primates; Cercopithecidae. The record is from RNAcentral.
CUUGGUUCUUCCUCAGGGUGAUGGAAUGCUCCUAUAGUGUGGACCACAGGGUCAUCACUGUGAGAUUUGGAAGGUGAGGCUUCUGCCUGCCCCACUCCCAGCUUCUGGAUGGUUUCUGGACAGUAAGCUGAAUCAGGUAAAAAUGAAGAAAACUGGGAUGAGGUGGAUAUGUAAUGCAAUGGACAUGGAACUGUGAGACCUUAGAAGCCAAGUUAUCUGAGGCAAGGUACCCUGAAAGCCACAUUCUUUCCUUUAAUGGGACUGAAACAAAGACUUGAGGAAGCUGUAGGCCACAGUAACCAAAAGGAAAAUUAGGAUGGCAGAGCAAAGUUUCUGCUUCCUCAAAUCAAGUAAGGCUGGAACUGGUGGGCAGGAGAAGAGAAGGCACACAGGAGGAAGAUGCAGAAGGACAGUGAAUCCUCAGGACAAGAGGCAGCAUGGGGUGGUGGAUAAAUCGUGGACCAGGAGCGAAGCAAAGAUCUGCUCACCUGGGACACUCAUCAGGGUCCUAGGUGUGUAGCUGCAGACCAGGCAUCCAAGCUGCCUCUCAUCCAGCAUGUUUCUUCCCAUCACUUGGAAUUUCCAUUACAAAGUGGGUUCAUGGCAACUGUUCCUAAUCAAGGAGCGUCACUAUUCUCAUCUUUGACUCUCCAGCUCUGUUAUCCAAACAUACAGGACUCACCUUCCCACAAGCACAGGCAACUCUCCUAAGAGGCAGACUCAC